UUCCUAUGGGGGGCAGCAGUGGGGGAUAUUGCACAAUGGGGGGAACCCUGAUGCAGCGACGCCGCGUGGGUGAAGAAGCGCCUCGGCGCGUAAAGCCCUGUCAGCAGGGAAGAAAAUGACGGUACCUGAAGAAGAAGCCCCGGCUAACUACGUGCCAGCAGCCGCGGUAAUACGUAGGGGGCAAGCGUUAUCCGGAUUUACUGGGUGUAAAGGGAGCGUAGACGGCAGGGCAAGUCUGGAGUGAAAGCCCGGGGCCCAACCCCGGGACCGCUUUGGAAACUGCCAUGCUAGAGUGCUGGAGAGGG
This 305-nucleotide ribosomal RNA is filed under the name uncultured bacterium. RNAcentral describes it as "bacterial SSU rRNA". It matches the Rfam family "Bacterial small subunit ribosomal RNA", at positions 336 to 658 of the family's 1533-position model. The record is from RNAcentral.